UCCCCGCCGUUCAACAUUUCAGCAGCUA
RNAcentral lists this small RNA (28 nucleotides) under Bombyx mori (domestic silkworm). Its description in RNAcentral is "ovarian small RNA-27237". The record is from RNAcentral. Lineage: Eukaryota; Metazoa; Arthropoda; Insecta; Lepidoptera; Bombycidae.